GCCAUACAAUUGCUUAUCAUAACCCAGGACUCAAACUCACCCUUUGACCCCAAGGGUAAGCUAUAAUCUUGCUAAGAUGUCGGUGAUAUAAAAUAAAGGCACCAACGUGACUUUGACAUAAGACACAUUUUACUGUAAGGAAAAACUGAUUCAAAUGGAGAAUUUAUUUGCAAACAUACAGAAAAUUAUAAGAAGUAUCCAAACAUAUUCAUAAAAAAACAAGUAUCAAUAAAAUGCUGUCCAUACAACAACAACUGUAUAUCUGAGUGUGUGUGUAUGAGAGAGAGAGAGAGAGAGAGAGAGAGAGAGAGAGAGAGAGAGAGAUGUGUCUUUAUGCAUGUCCAUUGUUAGAGAUGUGUCUUUAUGCAUGUCCAUUGUUAUAUGUGCAUCAGUCCUCAGAUUCUCUUCCAGCAGGCUCCCUGUUUUAGGAUAAAAAAAAAAAGAAGAUUAGAGCAGUACAAGCAUCAGUCUCUCUCGAUAGCAUUUACUUUUUCUUUUUGAAUUUCAGGAUUAGCUGUUUUUAGUUGUAUGGUCUUUGUAGGAAUGGCCACUCGAAUGUGGCAUCGACGAUCGAUUAUGAAACCAUGAUCGUGUGGGUUUAUUUAUUUUUUGUGGUUAUGGCAGCAUUUGGUUAGCAUUACAACUUUUAAAUAUUAAUUAUGAUGAACUAUGCAUGUGCAUAAUGAAACACCUGUUCUUGUCGCAGGUCCUGGCAUAUACAGGUAGAUACAACAAUAAAAUGCUCACUACUGUUUCACCAUGCGAGAAUGCAUGAGAAAAGUCAGGAAUCGAUCAAAAGAAUCAAAAUGCGUGCAUCGUAACGAAUCCCCGGUUCUUUAAAGUUUUAAUCGGUUCUAAAAUGAAACUGAUUCUUCAUACCCAACCCUAGACUCUGUCUUUGUUCACCAGUGGUCCCUUUUUUCCCUGUGACGGAGCAUGUUGUCAUUUUUUCUAAGGUGGAAAUGGAGUCCAUCACAGUUCUGAGUAACAUAAGUGUAUGGAAUUGAAACGACAUAAGGGUUGAUGAUGACAAGGUGAUGACACAAAGGAGCUUCCAUUGCCUUUAUUGCAACUAGGACUGACAAUAAUGUCUGCAAACCCUUCUCCAAAUAUUAAGUCUUAUUCUAUUACAACAUUGCCACCUGCCAGC
Paramisgurnus dabryanus is the source of this 1150-nucleotide non-coding RNA. Lineage: Eukaryota; Metazoa; Chordata; Actinopteri; Cypriniformes; Cobitidae. The record is from RefSeq and is a predicted model, not a curated record.